Molecule: ribosomal RNA, 443 nt
Filed under: uncultured bacterium
Lineage: Bacteria
Description: partial 16S ribosomal RNA
Rfam family: Bacterial small subunit ribosomal RNA
Source: RNAcentral
CCUACGGGUGGCAGCAGUGGGGAAUAUUGGACAAUGGGGGGAACCCUGAUCCAGCGAUGCCGCGUGAGUGAAGAAGUAUUUCGGUAUGUAAAGCACUAUCAGCAGGGAAGAAAGAAAUGACGGUACCCCUUGAAUCAGCCACGGCUAACUACGUGCCAGCAGCCGCGGUAAUACGUAGGGGGUAAGCGUUGUCCGGAUUUACUGGGUGUAAAGGGCGUGCAGCCGGAGAGUUAAGUCAGAUGUGAAAUCCACGGGCUCAACCCGUGAACUGCAUUUGAAACUGUUUACCUUGAGUGUCGGAGAGGUGAGCAGAAUUCCUUGUGUAGCGGUGAAAUGCGUAGAGAUGAGGAAGAACACCAGUGGCGAAGGCGGAUUACUGGACAAUAACUGACGGUGAGGCGCGAAAGCGUGGGGAGCAAACAGGAUUAGAUACCCCAGUAGUC